This 107-nucleotide small nuclear RNA is filed under the name Microtus ochrogaster (prairie vole). The record is from RNAcentral. Lineage: Eukaryota; Metazoa; Chordata; Mammalia; Rodentia; Cricetidae.
GUGCUCGCUUCGGCAGCACAUAUCCUAAAAUUGGAACGAUACAGAGAAGAUUAUCAUGGCCCCUGCACAAGGAUGACACACAAAUUCGUGAAGCGUUCCAUAUUUUU